UGAAAGAGUCAGGACAGGAGGA
RNAcentral lists this unclassified non-coding RNA (22 nucleotides) under Mus musculus (house mouse). RNAcentral's name for it is "oocyte_clustered_small_RNA11756". Lineage: Eukaryota; Metazoa; Chordata; Mammalia; Rodentia; Muridae. The record is from RNAcentral.